Long non-coding RNA from Schistocerca piceifrons (Central American locust), 346 nucleotides. RefSeq lists it as uncharacterized. Lineage: Eukaryota; Metazoa; Arthropoda; Insecta; Orthoptera; Acrididae. The record is from RefSeq and is a predicted model, not a curated record. The transcript has 3 exons.
GGCCACUUGGAGCGCUGCAAGUUUAGCAAUUUAUAGUCUCGUGUUCCUCUUGGAUGAUGUAGUCUUCCAUAAUGGUUUUGGUAUCGUAGGAACGUGAUCGUGAUUUUUCGUUUAAAUUGCAGUAACACGAGGCUGUAUCAUCACAUUACGUUCUGUGGACUCUUGUAUAUUUGUUCCUGCAAAGAAAUACAAUUUCCAUUGCUCAGUUUACUUAAAGGACACUUGAGGAUGGAGCAUACAAGAAGAGAAGAAUCCAGUUUGAGAUUGAAACUGAAAUAGUUGUGCAAGUUUCCCAGAUGCAGGAGUAGUUAUUAUGUAAAAACAAAUUCCAAACACAAGAAUAAAC